Molecule: ribosomal RNA, 253 nt
Filed under: uncultured bacterium
Lineage: Bacteria
Description: partial 16S ribosomal RNA
Rfam family: Bacterial small subunit ribosomal RNA
Source: RNAcentral
UACAGAGGUCCCAAGCGUUGUUCGGAUUCACUGGGCGUAAAGGGUGCGUAGGUGGUCGGGUAAGUCUGAUGUGAAAUCUCUGAGCUUAACUCAGAAACUGCAUUGGAUACUAUUCGGCUGGAGGAGUGGAGGGGGGACUGGAAUACUUGGUGUAGCAGUGAAAUGCGUAGAUAUCAAGUGGAACACCAGUGGCGAAGGCGAGUCCCUGGACAAUUCCUGACACUGAGGCACGAAAGCUAGGGGAGCAAACAGG